RNAcentral lists this long non-coding RNA (1048 nucleotides) under Nicotiana tabacum (common tobacco). RNAcentral describes it as "long non-coding RNA (NTAB_LNC011960)". Lineage: Eukaryota; Viridiplantae; Streptophyta; Magnoliopsida; Solanales; Solanaceae. The record is from RNAcentral.
CAGCACUCAACACAAACCAGAAAUUAUACCAAACGAACUGAAACACCUAAUCGUAUAUAAUGGUAAAGAUUAACAGUAACUACAUCAGAAAUUUAAGAUGUCUUAUUCAAAUUUCGACUUGAACUUCUAAAUCUUCAUACAUGCUAGUAAAUACUCAAUUCCAUGACAAGUUUAGACAGUGUACCUGGAGUAAGGAGAAACAAAAGAGAUGAGGAAGCAGUAAUCCGUAGCAAAAGCAGCAACAACACAACCCAGAUUUAGUAAACGAAACCAGAAAAUCGAUUCAAAAUCCAAUGGAACAAUGGUCUUCAACACAGCUUGAUAAAAAAACCUUCCAAAAAAACUAAUAUAAAACCAAUUCAAAUCCCUUUACUGAACACUGUUGUUUGCAGAACUUAAACGAAUCAAGAAUUACUGAAGCAAUGGAAUAGCAGAGGAUAUCUAGCUUUUUUUUUUGUAUUUUUCUGGACUCUAUCUCUUCAGCUCUCUUUCUGUAUCUAUUUCUAUCUGUUUUUCAGUCUGUUCAGCUCUUUUAAAUAGGCAAUUAGCUUAGUGACUUCUCCAUUACCAAUUCACUUUAUCAUUUCUUAAUUGCCCACUGAUUCUGUGUUUUUAAUUAAUUCGGUAAUGCAAUUUCUACCCUACCACUAUUAGAAGUUUCUCAAUUAGCGACCACUUGCAUAAAUCAGUCAAUUAUUAUACACAUUUAACCAAACUCAAGAUAAUCUUUAAUUUAACCGACUAAGUUAUUAGACGAGAUAUGAUUUCCAGAUUCUAAACAAACUGACCACACAAACCUAUGAAACCAAGAACAAAUUCACCAACAUUCUGAAAAACAGAACAACGAAAAGAAGAUAGUUUAUGCCAGAAGAUUGGUCGAGUUUUCAAUUGAAAUCGACCAGAGAAAAGAAAAAGAGAUGAGUAAAGACGGGGUUUAUAUACCAAUUAAACUAUAAAUAUAGAAAAUAGGGCAGAAGAACUCACUGGUCAGUAGUAACUGAAGAAAACCUUCGAAUCUUCAAUUUUUAAACCAAAUUUUCACUUUAAC